RNAcentral lists this long non-coding RNA (332 nucleotides) under Oryza sativa Indica Group (long-grained rice). RNAcentral's name for it is "lncRNA OsMH63_11G024470". The record is from RNAcentral. Lineage: Eukaryota; Viridiplantae; Streptophyta; Magnoliopsida; Poales; Poaceae. RNAcentral also lists the same sequence under 1 other name.
UCCCAUUCUCUAGACUCUUUGAGAUAACAAAGAUUUGCUCUUUGUCACCUUUAAUCUCCUUCUUGAGAAGUACUAGAAGCAUCUCAGUUGCCUGCAGCUUAGUAGGGUUCAACGUGGAGAGGAAGAUCUGCAAGAACCAGAUAGGCAUCAGCCAUGAGUACCAUGAAGAGGUAGCUCACAGAUACUGUGUGUACCGCAACAUGGUGCACCACAUCGCCGGGGAGUUCACCACAUUGCUUGACCUGGAAGGAUGUCUUCUUCCAGGUCAGGAUUAUCGGUCAGAGACAAACCACCAGUUUCUUCAUAGUUCAGAAUUACAUAGAAACUACUAA